UGGGUGAACUGAGUAAGAAGCAGUCACCGGAUCCUGGGUGAAUGUCUGUCGAAUUAACAACUUAAAACUAACGUCACCGCGGUAUUUCGCGAGUUACUGCAAGUUUUUCAACACAAGUCUGUAACAUUAACACAAUAUGUUCGCUCAGUGUCACAUCAUCAAGCCAUCCUGUCUCCAAAAAUCCAACUCUUACCUUCCCAGGUCACAGGAAACAAUUGGGCGUCUGAGUUUCUCCUGGCUCAAGGCACAGUAUUUCCAUUUGGCAGCCAACUCUGCAUUUUUAUCAACCUGGACACAUAAACACGCUGCAGAUUAGUUUACUAUCGAUGGUGCUGUCCAAGAGCGACCAUUAGUUUGGGGAAUACCUCAGUGGAGACAUCUCAGUGGAGACAUCUCUGGCAUGACUGAUGCUCUGUGUGGAAAAGAAGACUGAAUAUAAACUCAGCAAUGGACUUCAUUUUGGCUGAGAAAAUAGAGUUCAACCUCUUUACGCUCACCACACACAGGCAGCUGCCACUGCUUCCCAAAAUGUACCAAAAUGAAUAAAUGUAAACAUAAAAACAUUAAUCCAU
Micropterus dolomieu (smallmouth bass) is the source of this 572-nucleotide long non-coding RNA. RefSeq lists it as uncharacterized. The record is from RefSeq and is a predicted model, not a curated record. The transcript is spliced from 2 exons. NCBI's taxonomy places the organism in Eukaryota, Metazoa, Chordata, Actinopteri, Centrarchiformes, Centrarchidae.